This 447-nucleotide ribosomal RNA is filed under the name uncultured bacterium. Its description in RNAcentral is "partial 16S ribosomal RNA". It matches the Rfam family "Bacterial small subunit ribosomal RNA", at positions 29 to 523 of the family's 1533-position model. The record is from RNAcentral.
AACGAACGCUGGCGGCAGGCAUAACACAUGCAAGUCGAACGCCCCGCAAGGGGAGUGGCAGACGGGUGAGUAACGCGUGGGAAUCUACCGUACCCUAGGGAACAACAGUUGGAAACGCGUGGUAAUACCGUAUACGCCCUACGGGGGAAAGAUUUAUCGGGGUAUGAUGAGCCCGCGUUGGAUUAGCUAGUUGGUGGGGUAAAGGCCUACCAAGGCGACGACCCAUAGCUGGCCUGAGAGGAUGAUCAGCCACAUUGGGACUGAGACGCGGACCAUACUCCGACGGGAGGCAGCAGUGGAGAAUAGUGGACAAUGGGCGCAAGCCUGAUCCAGUCAUGCCGCGUGGGUGAUGAAGGUCUUAGGAUUGUAAAGCUCUAUCACCGAUGAAGAUAAUGACGGUAGUCGAAGAAGAAGCCCCGGCUAACUUCGUGCCAGCCGCCGCGGUAA